CUCAGAGGAAACUCCUCCCCUUUGUCUCUCCUUUGCAGCCUUCUUCUUCUUCUUACUCUUCUCCUGCAAUUCAGGUAGAAUUCACUUUUUUAGAUCCAUUUUUUUCCAGGGAAUUAUCAUUUCUCUACAGGUUACAGACUCUUACCGUUUCCUUGGCCGUUGUAACGUUGGUACCACCGACAUUUUCAAUUGUUCUCCCUGCAAAAUAUCAAGUAAAGAGAGUUUAGACAUAAUGGCCACGUCUAUAGAUAAGUCAGCUUUGGUUUCUUUCAUCAUUGUGGUCCUGAAUCUUUAGAUGUAAGAUCUUAGUUAGAAACUAGAAUACAAAAACAGUGUUGAGUAACUUUUCUCUGUAACUGUUUUUCAAAAGGUUUUGAGUUGAGAGAACAUUGCAAGCAAAGACUUAAAGAGAGAAAAAUGUUACCUGAAGGCAGAGACCUGAGUUCAUCUCCGGCUACAACAACACGUCUCGCAGGAUAAUGUUGCCGGUAAAAAACCUGGAAGAUCCCAUUCAUACAUCCAAACUGUUUAUUUAGAUUUGGAUUCUCAUCUGACAAGUUAUACAAAAGCUUUGCCGACAUCUUCUUAGCUCUGGUUCGUAUAAGGUUUCGUCUUCUUUAUUUUCUCAUGUACAGUUCUUGAAAAUCUUCAGUUUCAGGAUUCUCCUUUGUUAUGUGUCUCAUUGAAAGUAGAAGAAGAGAGAGGAGGACAACGUAGAACCCAGCAUUUAGACAACGG
RNAcentral lists this long non-coding RNA (738 nucleotides) under Brassica rapa (field mustard). RNAcentral describes it as "long non-coding RNA (BRAP_LNC000831)". The record is from RNAcentral. Lineage: Eukaryota; Viridiplantae; Streptophyta; Magnoliopsida; Brassicales; Brassicaceae.